Molecule: ribosomal RNA, 1296 nt
Filed under: Lentinellus flabelliformis
Lineage: Eukaryota; Fungi; Basidiomycota; Agaricomycetes; Russulales; Auriscalpiaceae
Description: eukaryotic LSU rRNA
Rfam family: Eukaryotic large subunit ribosomal RNA
Source: RNAcentral
GGGAAAAGCUCAAAUUUGUAAUCUGGCGGCCUUCGGUCGUCCGAGUUGUAAUCUAGAGAAGUGCUUUCCGCGCUGGACCGUGUACAAGUCUCCUGGAACGGAGCGUCGUAGAGGGUGAGAAUCCCGUCUUUGACACGGACUACCAGUGCUCUGUGAUGCGCUCUCGAAGAGUCGAGUUGUUUGGGAAUGCAGCUCAAAAUGGGAGGUGAAUUCCUUCUAAAGCUAAAUAUUGGCGAGAGACCGAUAGCGAACAAGUACCGUGAGGGAAAGAUGAAAAGCACUUUGGAAAGAGAGUUAAACAGUACGUGAAAUUGUUGAAAGGGAAACGCUUGAAGUCAGUCGCGUCCGCCGAGACUCAGCCUUGCCUCCUGGCUUGGUGUACUUCUCGGUGGACGGGCCAGCAUCAAUUUUGACCGCCGGACAAGGGCGGGGGGAAGGUGGCACCUUCGGGUGUGUUAUAGCCCCUCGUCGCAUACGGCGGUCGGGAUUGAGGAACUCAGCACGCCUUUAUGGUCGGGGUUCGCCCACGUUCGUGCUUAGGAUGCUGGCGUAAUGGCUUUAAACGACCCGUCUUGAAACACGGACCAAGGAGUCUAACAUGCCCGCGAGUGUUCGGGUGGAAAACCCGUGCGCGUAAUGAAAGUGAAAGUUGGGACCCCUGUCGUGGGGGGCACCGACGCCCGGACCAGACCUUCUGUGACGGAUCUGCGGUAGAGCGUGUAUGUUNNNNNGGGUGGCCCCUCAACUUGGAAGGCCCCUUUCCAGAGUCAUCGAGGGAUUAGUAGCGUGCAUGAAUGAAAUGUUGGUUGCGCUAAUAGCCCCGGAGCAAAUGCUAGUAGCUGGUUCCUGCCGAAGUUUCCCUCAGGAUAGCAGAAACUCGUGUCAGAUUUAUGUGGUAAAGCGAAUGAUUAGAGGCCUUGGGGUUGAAACAACCUUAACCUAUUCUCAAACUUUAAAUAUGUAAGAACAAGCCGUCGCUUGAUUGGACCGCUUGGCGAUUGAGAGUUUCUAGUGGGCCAUUUUUGGUAAGCAGAACUGGCGAUGCGGGAUGAACCGAACGCGAGGUUAAGGUGCCGGAAUACACGCUCAUCAGACACCACAAAAGGUGUUAGUUCAUCUAGACAGCAGGACGGUGGCCAUGGAAGUCGGAAUCCGCUAAGGAGUGUGUAACAACUCACCUGCCGAAUGAACUAGCCCUGAAAAUGGAUGGCGCUCAAGCGUGUUACCCAUACCUUGCGUUCGGCGUUGAAGUGACGCGCCGACGAGUAGGCAGGCGUGGAGGUCAGUGAAGAAGCA